Unclassified non-coding RNA from Chrysemys picta bellii (western painted turtle), 177 nucleotides. The record is from Ensembl. Lineage: Eukaryota; Metazoa; Chordata; Testudines; Emydidae.
CUGACAGCCUAGAGACUGAAGGCCUCUGUUUAUCCACAGAACGGGUGCAGAUCGGACAGUGGAAGAACAAGCUCCUACUCACUGCCCCACCAACGUGGCUCAGACUGUCCAAGAGUGAUCAAAUCAAGGGGCCAUAGGGUACUUCCAUCUCCAUGGUCUAUUCACUCCUGGGUUCCU